AGGGUCUUGCUAUGUUGCCCAGGGCGGUCUUAUACUCCUGGCCUCAAGUGAUCCUCCUGCCUCAGCCUCCCGAAGUGCUGAGACUACAAGGCAUGAGAGAUGAAGGAUAGACGGUUCAGAGAGAUGCUCUUCCCCAAGGAUGCUUCCUUUUCCUUCUGACAUGAGUGGAACCAGCCAUAGGCCCUCAUCAGAGGCAGAUGCUGGCACUUUGCUUCUCGUACAGCCUGCAGAAUGCAACAGCAUCGCGCUUUGUAUUUGUGUAGGAGCCUUGAAACAACAGAGAAUUUAUCCUUUCUCCAGCAGCAGCCAACCUUUGCUUGGGAUAAAAAGAAGAAAGAUUUACUCUAAAAGACAGACAGGUUUUCCUUUAUUUUUUCUCCAGAGUCAGCUUACCUAUUUCUGGAAUCUAAGCUGAAAGUUUUCUUGCCCCUUACCUGGAGGAAGACAGUUUUUGCUUUAUAUGAGAGAAGAGUUAAUUGUGGGUUUCAUACCUGUUCUAUAGAAAGAAGCAACUUACCUCAAUGUUUCAUCAUUAAGGGAGACUUUCUCAGGUGGCCUUUUUUGAUUCUACUCUUUCUCAUGGACACCUGGUGGAGGCUCAUGAGAAAGUUCUGGCAAGUGGGUGAAGACUACUUUUGUAUUUAGAACUCCCAAGAAUAUUAACCUGUGCCACUAGCCCACACUCUCUGUUUAUGUGUUUGUUAACACUGAAGAUUUUUUCUUCUUAUUCACUUCAAUGAGUGUCAUCUCUGUUUGAUGUGCUUUGCCGGGGCAAGAUACUUAGCGUGGCCUGUCCUGUCUUUCCUUAGAGGAAUUUGUUACACUUUGAAAAUCAAAGUACCUCAUUGCCUUGGGAUUUCAACUCAUUGAAGAAUUGAAAAGCAAGCAAACAAGCAGGCAAACAAAUGAAACCCCAAUAACUCUGGUUCUGUAUAUUUUCUUUGUUUUACUUAUUGUUGGGUGGGAUCAACGUUCUCUUAUGGCUUUCUGGAUUCUUAACAGAAGUAAAACUCUGAUUGGUCUUUAAGAAUAAACCUUAGUGAAAAAAAUGAGAACUAUAAUGACAUAUAUAAUAGCAUUUAAGUAAAUUAAAAUAUCUUCACAUUAUACAAUUUGCAUUUUCUAAAAGAAUUUCAAAUAAAAUUAAAUACAUUAUAAUUGUUGCCUGAGGAAGAAGCAAAGGAAAGUGAUAUAUAUUAACAUAAAUGAAUGAAUUAAAGAUAAAUGAAUAAAGCAAGAAAGGAAACUUUCAUUAAACAAAGUUGAUUAAGUGCAAUAGACAGUAUGAUAAACUCUGUCCUUUGUACUUGAAAUCCAAAAGGUAUUGAUAAACAAACAACCAAACACAAAAGAUUGGAUAUAUGACAUUAUCUUUUUCCACUUGUAUUGCAAUGCUGUGCAUAUAUAUCAUCUUGGAUCCCUCAAUAUGCUGCUUAUAAAGCUUAUUUUACUUUAAUAAUAAAUGUAUUAUGAAAUAUAAAAUUUGACUCCAUUGCAUUACUGUAAAUAUUUUAGUGGUUUUUUUGUGAGUAUAUGUAGCUAAUUGGAGGAUGAAAUACAAUGUUUUAAGCAAGUGUGAUUAACAUAAUAAAGCACAUGAAUUACUAUAUUUUUGUGAAAAGAAUAAAACAAAAUACUAUGAACAUACAUCAUGGAGGAAAUAUUUUAUUUGUUAAUAUCGUGUUUACUUCUUUAAUGGAAAUAAUUU
This 1708-nucleotide long non-coding RNA is filed under the name Homo sapiens (human). Its description in RNAcentral is "HSALNT0093268". The record is from RNAcentral. Lineage: Eukaryota; Metazoa; Chordata; Mammalia; Primates; Hominidae.